Molecule: long non-coding RNA, 272 nt
Organism: Protobothrops mucrosquamatus (brown spotted pit viper)
Lineage: Eukaryota; Metazoa; Chordata; Lepidosauria; Squamata; Viperidae
Exons: 4
Source: RefSeq, a predicted model, not a curated record
CGGCACCCUUGGCCAGGCGCGCCCGGGGUUGCGUCCGAGGCGCGCAUUAACUGCAGGAGGGAGAGAAUCGCCCGAGGCGCUCAGAGCUCCGGACCUCCUCGGCGCGGAAACAUGUGGAUCCUUCUUCCUCUUUGUGGGGUCUUCAUAGCAAGCUCAGCCGCAGAGUCCCCCAAGGAUCAGCCUCCCGACCCCUUCAAAUAUGAUUACUAUUCGCUGAGAGUUGGAGGCUUGGUGUUUGCAGUUGUCCUGUUUCUGCUGGGCAUCCUCAUUAU